CCUACGGGUGGCAGCAGUGAGGAAUAUUGGUCAAUGGGCGAGAGCCUGAACCAGCCAAGUCGCGUGAGGGAAGACGGUCCUACGGAUUGUAAACCUCUUUUGUCAGGGAGCAAGGAGCGCCACGAGUGGUGCGGCGAGAGUACCUGAAGAAUAAGCUCCGGCUAACUACGUGCCAGCAGCCGCGGUAAUACGUAGGGAGCAAGCGUUGUUCGGAAUGACUGGGCGUAAAGGGUGCGUAGGCGGUUAUACAAGUUAGAAGUGAAAUACCCAGGGCUUAACUCGGGUGCUGCUUCUAAAACUGUAAGACUUGAGUGCAGUAGAGGUUAGUGGAAUUCCUAGUGUAGCGGUGGAAUGCGUAGAUAUUAGGAGGAACACCAGAGGCGAAGGCGGCUAACUGGACUGCAACUGACGCUGAGGCACGAAAGUGUGGGGAGCAAACAGGAUUAGAUACCCUGGUAGUC
This 461-nucleotide ribosomal RNA is filed under the name uncultured bacterium. RNAcentral describes it as "partial 16S ribosomal RNA". It matches the Rfam family "Bacterial small subunit ribosomal RNA", at positions 338 to 795 of the family's 1533-position model. The record is from RNAcentral.